AGUUUAUGAUUGGUGUUUGUAGAGAUGUUACCUGUGCGUUUCCUGACCCAGGUCCGACUUUAGUCCUGGAUGGAGGGUGGCUCUGUUCCUGUGGUUUGGUUUUGAGGUUCGAGUUGAAGACCAAGCAGGUGAGAAUCAAAAGAAUGUUUUAUUUCUAUCUCAGUCAGAAUGAACUGUUCUGUCUCUGUUUGUGACCAUUAACCUGUGUGAGUUCAUGUGAUACCGUCAGAGACAGAAAGCUGCUCUGACUGUGACCUGACCAAUGUAAAGAAUAAUGACUGUGUUAAUGUGAGCGUUUUAACAUACAUGUUCUGCACAUUAUGAACGGCUCCAUUUAUAAAGCUUUCACUCUGUAACAAUUAUUCUCCAUUACUGUAAAGCAAACCCAACAUGAAAAGAGUAAAAAUAAAGGAAUCGGUGUCAUUAUCUUUCAUGACUUCCAGCACCUGCAAAGAAAUACAGCAGAGACUGAAAUAAAGUGAAACUACCACCCCGCGGGGCACCAACGGGCCGAGCCGUUUCACGCCGCCACCUCUGUGGACUGCCUCCCCAGCAGACGACUGCCCUGAUGCACUGCCUGUCAUCCCGCAUGCAUUGCUCUCCAUGGAGGCCAGGGCAGUUGUGAUGGCUGGUGCUUGUGAUCGAAGUAUGAUUAAAAUAUAAAAUAUAAUAUAGAAUAGUUUGAUAAAGAUGUCAUAGUAAAGGAUGAUAAAAAAAAUAUAGUAUGGAACAAAAAAUGUAUACUAUAUUAUGUUCAUCAUUGUUAAGUAUGAAAAAAUAUCAAAAUAUAGGAUGUUGAAUAUCAUAGUGUAGUAUGUUAAAAUUUCAUACUAAUGUAUUAUAAGAAUGUCAUAGUAAAGUAUGUUAAAAAAUCAUAGUUAAAUAUGAUAAAAAUAUCAUAGCGUAGUACAUUCAAAUGUCAUAUAGUGUAAUAAAAAUAAUGUAAAAUAAAUAUUUCAGAGUAAUGGUGGAUAGAAAUGCCAUAAUAAAGUAUGAUAAAAAAUGUCAUAGUAAAGUAGAUUAAAAAUGUCAUAGUAUAGUAUGAUAAAAAUGUCAUAGUAUAGUAUGAUAAAAUGUCAUAGUAUAGUAUGUUAGAAAUUUCAUUAUUUCAGUUUGAAAGAAAUUGUCCUAGUAUAAUAUGGUAAAAAUGUCAUAGUAUUGUAUGAUAAAAAUGUCAUAGUAUAGUAUGUUAAAAUUUCAUAUAUCAGUUUUAAAAAAAUGUCAUAGUAUAGCAUGAUAAAAAGUCAUAGUAUAGUACGAUAAAAAAUUCAUAUUUCAGUUUGAAAGAAAAUGUCAUGGUAUAGUAUGAUAAAAAGUCAUAGUAUAGUAUGUUAAAAAUUUCAUAUUUCAGCUUGAACAAAAAUGUUAUAGUAUAGUAUAAUAAAGAAAAAAUCAUUGUAUAGUAUGUUAAAAAAGUCAUAGUAUAGUAUGAUAAAAAGUCAUAGUAUAGUACGAUAAAAAUUCCAUAUUUCAGUUUGAAAGAAAACCUCAUAGUAUAGUAUGAUAGAAAUGUCAUAGUAUAGUAUGAUAAGAAUCUCAUAGUAUAGUAUGUUAGAAAUUUCAUUAUUUCAGUUUGAAAGAAAAUGUCAUAGUAUAAUAUGAUAAAAAUGUCACAGUAUAGUAUGAUAAAAAUGUCAUAGUAUGUUAAAAAUUUCAUAUUUCAGUUUUUUAAAAAUGUCAUAGUAUAGUGUGAUAAAAAGUCAAAGUAUAGUACGAUAGAAAUUUCAUAUUUCAGUUUGAAAGAAAAUGUCAUAGUAUAGUAUGAUAAAAAUGUCAUAGUAUAGUAUGUUAAAAAAAAUCAUUGCAUAGUAUGUUAAAAAUAAGUAUGUUAAAAAUUUCAUAGUAUAGUAUGUUAAAGAUUUCAUAUUUCAGUAUAAAAAUUUUUAUAUUAUAGUACGGUAAAAAUGUUAUAGUAUAGUAUGAUAAAAUGUCAUAGUAUAGUAUGUUAGAAAUUUCAUUAUUUAAGUUUGAAAGAAAAUGUUAUUGUAUAAUAUGAUAAAAAUGUCAAAGUAUUAUAUGAUUAAAAUGUCAUAGUAUAGUAUGUUAAAAAUUUCAUAUUUCAGUUUUUAAAAAAUGUCAUAGUAUAGUAUGAUAAAAAUGUCAUAGUUUAGUAUGUUAAAAAUUUCAUAUUUAAGUUUUUUUUUUUAAAUCAUAGUAUAGUAUGAUAAAAAUGUCAUAGUAUAGUAUGAUAAAAAGUCAUAGUAUAGUAGGAUAAAAAUUUCAUAUUUCAGUUUGAAAGAAAAUGUCAUAGUAUAGUAUGAUAAUAAUCUCAUAGUAUAGUAUGAUAAAAAUCUCAUAGUAUAGUAUGUUAGAAAUUUCAGUAUUUCAGUUUGAAAGAAAAUGUCAGUAUAAUAUGAUAAAAAUGUCACAGUAUAGUAUGAUAAAAAUGUCAUAGUAUAGUAUGUUAAAAAUUUCAUAUUUCAGUUUUAAAAAAUUUCAUAGUAUAGUAUGAUAAAAAGUCAUAGUAUAGUACGAUAAAAAUGUCAUAUUUCAGUUUGAAAGAAAAUGUCAUAGUAUAGUAUGAUAAAAAUCUCAUAGUAUAGUAUGUUAGAAAUUUCAUAUUUCAGUUUUUAAAAAAUGUCAUAGUAUAGUAUGAUAAAAAGUCAUAGUAUAGUACAAUAAAAAUUUCAGAUUGAAAGAAAAUGUCAUAGUAUAGUAUGAUAAAAAUGUCAUAGUAUAGUAUGGUAAAAAUGUCGUAUUAUAGUAUAUUAAAAAUUUCAUUAUAUCAGCUUGAACAAAAAUGUUAUAGUAUAGUAUGAUAAAAAAAAAUCAAUGUAUAGUAUGUUUAAAAUGUCAUGGCAUAGUAUGUUAAAGAUUUCAUAGUAUAGUAUGUUAAAGAUUUCAUAUUUUAGUAUAAAAAAUUUUAUAGUAUAGUACGGUAAAAAAUGUCAUAGUAUAGUAUGUAAAAAUUUCAUAUUUCAGUAUAAAAAAUGUUAUAGUAUAGUAUGGUAAAAAUUUCAUUGUAUAGUAUGAUAAAAAUGUCAUAGUAUAGUAUGUUAAAAAUUUCAUGUUUUAAUUUGUUUUAAACAUGUCAUAGUAUAGUAUGAUAAAAAUGUCAUAGUUUAGUAUGUUAAAAAUUUCAUAUUUAAGUUUUUUUUUAAAUCAUAGUAUAGUAUGAUAAAAAUGUCAUAGUAUAAGUAUGAUAAAAAGUCAUAGUAUAGUAGGAUAAAAAUUUCAUAUUUCAGUUUGAAAGAAAAUGUCAUAGUAUAGUAUGAUAAAAAUCUCAUAGUAUAGUAUGAUAAAAAUCUCAUAGUAUAGUAUGUUAGAAAUUUCAUUAUUUCAGUUUGAAAGAAAAUGACAUAGUAUAAUAUGAUAAAAAUGUCACAGUAUAGUAUGAUAAAAAUGUCAUAGUAUAGUAUGUUAAAAAUUUCAUAUUUCAGUUUUUGUAAAAUGUCAUAGUAUAGUAUGAUAAAAAGUCAUAGUAUAGUACGAUAAAAAUUUCAUAUUUCAGUUUGAAAGAAAAUGUCAUAGUAUAGUAUGAUAAAAAUCUCAUAGUAUAGUAUGAUAAAAAUCUAAUAGUAUAGUAUGUUAGAAAUUUCAUUAUUUCAGUUUGAAAGAAAAUGUCAUAGUAUAAUAUGAUAAAAAUGUCACAGUAUAGUAUGAUAAAAAUGUCAUAGUAUAGUAUGUUAAAAGUUUCAUAUUUCAGUUUUUAAAAAAUGUCAUAGUAUAGUAUGAUAAAAAGUCAUAGUAUAGUACGAUAAAAAUUUCAUAUUUCAGUUUGAAAGAAAAUGUCAUAGUAUAGUAUGAUCAAAAUCUCAAAGUAUAGUAGGAUAAAAAUUUCAUAUUUCAGUUUUUAAAAAAUGUCAUAGUAUAGUAUGAUAAAAAGUCAUAGUAUAGUACGAUAAAAAUUUCAUAUUUCAGACUGAAAGAAAAUGUCAUAGUAUAGUAUGAUAAAAAUGUCAUAGUAUAGUACUGUAAAAAUGUCGUAGUAUAGUAUAUUAAAAAUUUCAUUAUUUCAGCUUGAACAAAAAUGUUUUAGUAUAGUAUGAUAAAAAAUAUCAAUGUAUAGUAUGUUUAAAAUGUCAUGGCAUAGUAUGUUAAAGAUUUCAUAGUAUAGUAUGUUAAAGAUUUCAUAUUUCAGUAUAAAAAAUUUUAUAGUAUAGUACGGUAAAAAAUGCCAUAGUAUAGUAUGUUAAAAAUUUCAUAUUUCAGUAUAAAAAAUGUUAUAGUAUAGUAUGGUAAAAAUUUCAUUGUAUAGUAUGAUAAAAAAAAAUGUCAUAGUAUAGUAUGUUAAAAAUUUCAUGUUUUAAUUUUUUUUUUAACAUGUCAUAGUAUAGUAUGAUAAAAAUGUCAUAGUUUAGUAUGUUAAAAAUUUCAUAUUUAAGUUUUUUUUAAAAAUCAUAGAAUAGUAUGAUAAAAAUGUCAUAGUAUAGUAUGAUAAAAAGUCAUAGUAUAGUAGGAUAAAAAUUUCAUAUUUCAGUUUGAAAGAAAAUGUCAUAGUAUAGUAUGAUAAAAAUCUCAUAGUAUAGUAUGUUAAAAAUUUCAUAUUUCAGUUUUUAAAAAAUGUCAUAGUAUAGUAUGAUAAAAAGUCAUAGUAUAGUACGAUAAAAAUUUCAUAUUUCAGUUUGAAAGAAAAUGUCAUAGUAUAGUAUGAUAAAAAUGUCAUAGUAUAGUAUGUUAAAAAUUUCAUAUUUCAGUUUUUAAAAAAUGUCAUAGUAUAGUAUGAUAAAAAGUCAUAGUAUAGUACGAUAAAAAAUUCAUAUUUCAGAUUGAAAGAAAAUGUCAUAGUAUAGUAUGAUAAAAAUGUCAUAGUAUAGUAUGGUAAAAAUGUCAUAGUAUAGUAUGUUAAAAAUUUCAUAUUUCAGUCUUUAAAAACUGUCAUAGUAUAGUAUGAUAAAAAUGUCAUAGUAUAGUAUGAUAAAAAUCUCAUAGUAUAGUAUGUUAAAAAUUUCAUAUUUCAGUUUUUAAAAAAUGUCAUAGUAUAGUAUGAUAAAAAGUCAUAGUAUAGUACGAUAAAAAUUUCAUAUUUCAGAUUGAAAGAAAAUGUCAUAGUAUAGUAUGAUAAAAAUGUCAUAGUAUAGUAUGGUAAAAAUGUCAUAGUAUAGUAUGUUAAAAAUUUCAUAUUUCAGUUUUUAAAAACUGUCAUAGUAUAGUAUGAUAAAAAUGUCAUAGUAUAGUAUGAUCAAAAUGUCAGUAUACUAUGUUAAAAAUUUCAUAUUCCAGUUUUUCAAAAAUGCCAUAAUAUAGUAUGAUAAAAAGUCAUAGUAUAGUACGAUAAAAAUUUUAUAUUUCAGAUUGAAAGAAAAUGUCAUAGUAUAGUAUGAUAAAAAUGUCAUAGUAUAGUAUGGUAAAAAUGUCGUAGUAUAGUAUGAUAAAAAAGUCAUAGUAUAGUACGAUAAAAAUUUCAUAUUUCAGUUUGAAAGAAAAUGUCAAAGUAUAGUAUGAUAAAAAUGUCAUAGUAUAGUAUGUUAAAUAUUUCAUAUUUCAGUUUUUGUAAAAUGUCAUAGUAUAGAAUGAUAAAAAGUCAUAGUAUAGUACGAUAAAAAUUUCAUAUUUCAGAUUGAAAGAAAAUGUCAUAGUAUAGUAUAAAAAAAUGUCAUAGUAUAGUAUGAUAAAUAUUUCAUAGUAUAGUAUGUGUAAGAUAUCAUCAUAUUUCAGUAUAAAAAAUUUUAUAGUAUAGUAUGGUAAAAAUUUCAUAUUUCCGUUUUUUAAAAAUGUCAUAGUAUAGUAUGAUAAAAAUGUCAUAGUUAAGUAUGAUAAAGGUCAUAGUAUAGUAUGUUAAAAAUUUCAUAUUUCAGUUUUUAAAAAAAAUGUCAUAGUAUAGUAUGAUAAAAAUGUCAUAGUAUAGUAUGUUAAAAAUUUCAUAUUUCAGUUUUUAAAAAAAAUGUCAUAGUAUAGUAUGAUAAAAAUGUCAUAGUAUAGUAUGAUAAAAAAUCUCAUAGUAUAGAAUGUUUAAAAUUAUACGUUUCAAUAUGAAAAAUGGCAUAGUAUAGUAUGCUUAAGAAGUCAGAGUAAAGUAUGAUAAAUAAAUCCAUAGUAUAGUAUGAUAAAAAUGUCAUAGUAUAGCAUGAUAAAAAAUGUGAUUGAUGAGUAUGUUAAAAAUUAUAUGUUUCCAUAUGAAAAAAGUCAUAGUAUAGUCUGAUAGAAAUGUCAAAGUAUAGUAUGUAAAAAAAAUCAUAUUUCAGUUUAAAAAACAUUUUAUAGUAUAGUAUGAUAAAAAUGUCAUAGUAUAGUAUGUUAAAAAUUUCAUAGUAUAGUAUGUUAAAAAUUCCAUAUUUCAGUUUGAACAAAAAUGUCAUAGUAUAGUAUGUUAAAAAUUGUGUUUUGAUAUGAACAUAAUGUCAUAGUAUAGUAUGAUAAAAAUGUCAUAGUUUAGCUUGUAAAAAAUUGCAUAUUUCAGUUAGAAAAGAAAAAGGUCCUAGUAUACCAGUUUAAAAAUGCCAUAGUGUAGUAUGUUAAAAAAAUAUUUAUAUUCUAGUUUUUAAAAAGUCAUAGUAUAGUAUGAUGUUACAGCUGUGGGUGUGGGUGUGUCCUGGUUCUUCUGCUGUGUGUCUCUCUCUGGUAGGUUCCUCCCCAGGUGUCUCAGGUCAACCUGCUUGGUGUGAUGAGUGGGGGCAGAUAUAAGAAGGCACAGUUGAGCUGACUCUCUCUCUCUCAGCCCUCGUGAUCGUCACUCGUGCUGCAGACCUCAUGAUUUGUUGACUGUGUGUCAAUCUUGUACAUUUUGGUUCUCUUGAAGUCCAGGUUUUCCGGUGGCAGGAGCCUGUGGUGUUUUUUUUUUUUUGUUUGUUUGCUUGAAUAGUUGGCAGUGGAUAUUGGUUUUUUAAUAACUUAUUAGUUAUUAUUAGUUGUUUGAGCUUUUAGAAUUAUUUUUGACUGUAAAUAAACUACUCGCUUAUUCUGAUUUCCUGUUUCCUACACUUCAUUUCGUCUCCCCUGCCUGGUUUAAUUUAUUGUUACUCCCCAUCCUUCCCCUAACCAUUCUUCAGGGUCGUAACAUAUGAUAAAAAUGUCAUGGUAUAGUAUGAAAGAAAUGUCAUAGUAAAGUAUGUUAAAAAAUUCAUAUUUAAAAUUUUCAUAUAUAAGUUAUUUAAGUUUUUCACAUAUUUUUUCUUGAAUAUUGUGAAUUAAUUUUAGAAAGUGAAGUGUCCAUACAGCCCUAA
Molecule: non-coding RNA, 7103 nt
Organism: Xyrichtys novacula (pearly razorfish)
Lineage: Eukaryota; Metazoa; Chordata; Actinopteri; Labriformes; Labridae
Source: the annotation of a GenBank genome assembly